Molecule: ribosomal RNA, 460 nt
Filed under: uncultured bacterium
Lineage: Bacteria
Description: partial 16S ribosomal RNA
Rfam family: Bacterial small subunit ribosomal RNA
Source: RNAcentral
CCUACGGGAGGCAGCAGUGAGGAAUAUUGGUCAAUGGACGAGAGUCUGAACCAGCCAAGUAGCGUGAAGGAUGACUGCCCUAUGGGUUGUAAACUUCUUUUAUAUGGGAAUAAAAUGUUCCACGUGUGGGAUUUUGUAUGUACCAUAUGAAUAAGGAUCGGCUAACUCCGUGCCAGCAGCCGCGGUAAUACGGAGGAUGCGAGCGUUCUCCGGAUUUAUUGGGUUUAAAGGGUGCGUAGGUGGAUUGUUAAGUCAGUUGUGAAAGUUUGCGGCUCAACCGUGAAAUUGCAGUUGAAACUGGCAGUCUUGAGUACAGUAGAGGUGGGCGGAAUUCGUGGUGUAGCGGUGAAAUGCUUAGAUAUCACGAAGAACUCCGAUUGCGAAGGCAGUUCACUGGACUGCAACUGACACUGAGGCUCGAAAGUGUGGGUAUCAAACAGGAUUAGAUACCCUAGUAGUC